GGGGGCAUGGCUCAGUGGUGGAGCACUUUCCUGGCACAGAAGAGGCCCUGGAUUCUAUCCCCAGGACCGCA
This 71-nucleotide transfer RNA is filed under the name Marmota monax (woodchuck). Its description in RNAcentral is "tRNA.Ala". Lineage: Eukaryota; Metazoa; Chordata; Mammalia; Rodentia; Sciuridae. The record is from RNAcentral.